RNAcentral lists this ribosomal RNA (251 nucleotides) under uncultured prokaryote. Its description in RNAcentral is "partial 16S rRNA". It matches the Rfam family "Bacterial small subunit ribosomal RNA", at positions 525 to 775 of the family's 1533-position model. The record is from RNAcentral.
ACGGAGGCCCCUAGCGUUGUUCGGAAUUAUUGGGCUUAAAGCGCGUGUAGGCGGGUCGGUAAGUGCCUUGUGAAAUCCCCGGGCUCAACCUGGGAAUUGCUCGGCAUACUGCCGGUCUUGAGGCAGGUAUGGGUCACUGGAACCUUAGGUGUAGCGGUGAAAUGCGUAGAUAUCUAAGGGAACGCCGGUGGCGAAAGCGGGUGACUGGGCCUGUCCUGACGCUGAGACGCGAAAGCGUAGGGAGCAAACGG